RNAcentral lists this ribosomal RNA (200 nucleotides) under uncultured bacterium. Its description in RNAcentral is "partial 16S ribosomal RNA". It matches the Rfam family "Bacterial small subunit ribosomal RNA", at positions 8 to 211 of the family's 1533-position model. The record is from RNAcentral.
AGAGUUUGAUCCUGGCUCAGGACGAACGCUGGCGGCGUGCCUAAUACAUGCAAGUCGAGCGGUCCCCUUCGGGGAUAGCGGCGGACGGGUGAGUAACACGUAGGCAACCUGCCUGUAAGACUGGGAUAACUAUCGGAAACGAUAGCUAAGACCGGAUAGCUGGUUUCUCCGCAUGGGGAAAUUAUGAAACACGGGGCAAC